GUGCAUCUGGUGUAGUGGUAUCAUAGUACCCUCUCACGGUAUUAACCGGGAUUCGAUUCCUUGGAUGCGCA
Transfer RNA from Ipomoea nil (Japanese morning glory), 71 nucleotides. It matches the Rfam family "tRNA". From Rfam's summary of the family: Transfer RNA (tRNA) molecules are approximately 80 nucleotides in length. Their secondary structure includes four short double-helical elements and three loops (D, anti-codon, and T loops). The record is from Rfam. Lineage: Eukaryota; Viridiplantae; Streptophyta; Magnoliopsida; Solanales; Convolvulaceae.